GAUAAACAGCAACACUCUAACCGGAAACAGUACCCCUAGCAUACUGCAUGAAAACAUCAACAGCGCUUGCUAGCAACCACAGUAAGCUAAUGUGACGAGGAUAAGUUCCAUCCAUCCAUCCAUCCAUCCAUCCAUCCAUCCAUUUCCUACCGCUUGUCCCUUUCUGGGUGGCGGGGGGUGCUGGAGCCUAUCUCAGCUGGUGUGCCUUCCUGCGACAGUAGGUGUGUUAUGUGAAUAUCAGAUGGAAAUAUGGAUGAUCACACUUUACACCUGGAGAUGAUCACACACAU
Molecule: long non-coding RNA, 290 nt
Organism: Entelurus aequoreus (snake pipefish)
Lineage: Eukaryota; Metazoa; Chordata; Actinopteri; Syngnathiformes; Syngnathidae
Exons: 3
Source: RefSeq, a predicted model, not a curated record